GUCGCAUAGGUCGAAACAUAUUUAUUUUUUAAAAAAAUUAAGUGUGCUGAUUGAGUAUUAUUAUAUUUUGCCAAUAUCCUUGCUAUUGGCUUGUUACUAAUUAUUUUUUUGCUGUGCAAAGAAAAAGUAGCUGUUCAACCUCAUCUCUCCAUGAUUGUGAGCUUCUUAAUUUCGUUUCUUUUUUGGGUUAAAAAGGAGGAGGAGGAGGAGGAAGCAGGAGAAGGAGGAGGAGGAGGAAUGGAAGUUAUGAGAAUCUCUGUACUAGGCUACUAGCUCAAGCUGGACGAUAACGUAGGAGAAUCGAAGGAGAGAGC
This 314-nucleotide long non-coding RNA is filed under the name Setaria italica (foxtail millet). Its description in RNAcentral is "long non-coding RNA (SITA_LNC002669)". Lineage: Eukaryota; Viridiplantae; Streptophyta; Magnoliopsida; Poales; Poaceae. The record is from RNAcentral.